Molecule: non-coding RNA, 71 nt
Organism: Trichechus manatus latirostris (Florida manatee)
Lineage: Eukaryota; Metazoa; Chordata; Mammalia; Sirenia; Trichechidae
Source: the annotation of a RefSeq genome assembly
GCAGUGGUGGCUCAGGGGUAGAGUUCUUGCCUUCAGUGCAGGAGACCUGGGUUCAAUCCCCGGCCAGCGCA